GAUGAACGCUAGCUACAGGCUUAACACAUGCAAGUCGAGGGGAAACGAUAUUGGAAGCUUGCUUCCGAUAGGCGUCGACCGGCGCACGGGUGAGUAACGCGUAUCCAACCUGCCCAUCACUUGGGGAUAACCUUGCGAAAGUAAGACUAAUACCCAAUGACGUCUCUAGAAGACAUCUGAAAGAGAUUAAAGAUUUAUCGGUGAUGGAUGGGGAUGCGUCUGAUUAGCUUGUUGGCGGGGUAACGGCCCACCAAGGCGACGAAUCAGUAGGGGGUUCUGAGAGGAAGGUCCCCCACAUUGGAACUGAGACACGGUCCAAACUCCUACGGGAGGCAGCAGUGAGGAAUAUUGGUCAAUGGACGAGAGUCUGAACCAGCCAAGUAGCGUGCAGGAAGACGGACCCUAUGGGUUGUAAACUGCUUUUAUAAGGGAUAAAGUGAGUCUCGUGAGACUUUUUGCAUGUACCUUAUGAAUAAGGACGGCUAAUUCCGUGCC
RNAcentral lists this ribosomal RNA (495 nucleotides) under uncultured bacterium. Its description in RNAcentral is "bacterial SSU rRNA". It matches the Rfam family "Bacterial small subunit ribosomal RNA", at positions 28 to 509 of the family's 1533-position model. The record is from RNAcentral.